This 445-nucleotide ribosomal RNA is filed under the name uncultured bacterium. RNAcentral describes it as "partial 16S ribosomal RNA". It matches the Rfam family "Bacterial small subunit ribosomal RNA", at positions 354 to 796 of the family's 1533-position model. The record is from RNAcentral.
GUGAGGAAUAUUGGUCAAUGGACGAGAGUCUGAACCAGCCAAGUAGCGUGAAGGAUGACUGCCCUAUGGGUUGUAAACUUCUUUUAUACGGGAAUAAAGUGAGGCACGUGUGCCUUUUUGUAUGUACCGUAUGAAUAAGGAUCGGCUAACUCCGUGCCAGCAGCCGCGGUAAUACGGAGGAUCCGAGCGUUAUCCGGAUUUAUUGGGUUUAAAGGGAGCGUAGGCGGACGCUUAAGUCAGUUGUGAAAGUUUGCGGCUCAACCGUAAAAUUGCAGUUGAUACUGGGUGUCUUGAGUACAGUAGAGGCAGGCGGAAUUCGUGGUGUAGCGGUGAAAUGCUUAGAUAUCACGAAGAACUCCGAUUGCGAAGGCAGCUUGCUGGACUGUAACUGACGCUGAUGCUCGAAAGUGUGGGUAUCAAACAGGAUUAGAAACCCUUGUAGUCC